AAAAAUCAUAAACGGAGGUAACGGAAAUGGCAGGUGUUCAUGAAGACCUUCAUGCACUGGCAGGCAGUUCCUGAUCAUACAACGUAUAGCAGAAGAUUUCCAUUGGACUCCAAGGAAUGCUCAGGUGUCACCAAAAAGCUUUCAUGCUUUACCCCCUUGGAGCCACUGGUGGAGCUCUGGGUUAAUGCUGUGUAAGCCCUCUCACAAAGUAAGGGAACGUUUCUUCUCACAGUUGGACAUAUCUGAGACAUGCAAAUGAUGAAGGAAAAAAAGAUAUUGCAACUCCUCUGAUGCAGCAAGUGCCAUAUUUCACAGCUACAAACAUUACAGUCCUCAAUAAAAGGAAGCCAACGAUUCCCUUCAAGUCAUAAAAGCACUAAGCUUCGUUGUGAAUGACUGAAUAUAGAGUAUGUUGUGACACAUGCAGGAUGUGUUAUGUUUUAUAAGAAGAAAGUUCAGCUUAUUCUUGCCAACAUGAUUUUGAUAAGGAAGCAAGUCUUUGCCAAAAAGAAUACAUUUGUUUUCCAAAUCCUUAUACAGUCCUUAUCACUGGUGUAUUUCAGCUUCAGCUGUAAAUAAUGACAUACUGCAUGAUUCAGCCUAUCACUCUCUUCCGUACGUAAGGAGCGCACAAACCACGGAUGGGAAUAAAGGGGCUGCAGCUUUAUUCAUCACACAAGCAAACAGAACCAUAAUCCAGAAUGCAAACAGAUCUGGUGAGAAGUAAUGAGCUCUUUGUCCAGCCCAAUCCCGCAGCUGGAGUCACACUAAGUCCUUCCAUUUGUGCGUGCACAAAAACUCUCACUCCAUUUGAUCUCAGCGCCCACAGCUCGAGCACACAACCUGACCAGCCUUACCUGCUGCCCAGCUCGGCACGUUGGCUGCCAUCCUGAAGGCAGCAGCAGUUCAGCUGGGAGGAGCCCUGCUGCAUCUCACCUGGGAAGAAACUGAAAAGAAACAUGCAUGGGAAAUCCGUUAAAUGCAACAGUCUUAGAGCAAUGCACAGCACAUUGCUGCAGUUUAAGCAAAUGAAACAAAUACUUCCAAAAUUUCCACAAUUAAAUUAGUAGAAAUCCUACACUGAAUAAACUAAAUGUAUCACUUACUAUCGAGCUGUGCCGUAUUU
Molecule: long non-coding RNA, 1126 nt
Organism: Gallus gallus (chicken)
Lineage: Eukaryota; Metazoa; Chordata; Aves; Galliformes; Phasianidae
Source: Ensembl